Long non-coding RNA from Macadamia integrifolia, 585 nucleotides. RefSeq lists it as uncharacterized. The record is from RefSeq and is a predicted model, not a curated record. Lineage: Eukaryota; Viridiplantae; Streptophyta; Magnoliopsida; Proteales; Proteaceae. The transcript has 3 exons.
GAUGCAAUUGGCAUGCAGGUUUGCUGUAGGAAACUGCUAUAGCUUGCAGAAAGAUCAAGGAACUUCUCUGAAAAAUUUUCAGCGUGCUGUUAAUCUCAACUCAAAAUUUGCAUAUGCCCAUACCCUAUGUGGCCAUGAAUAAGGGGUAUGUAGCCUUGAGGAUUUUGAAAAUGGAAUAAAGCGCUAUCAGAGUGCCCUCAGAAUAGAUGCAAGACACUAUAACAUGUGGUAUGGUCUUGGGAUGGUAUAUCUUCGCCAAGAGAAGUUUGAGUUCACUGAGCAUGCUUUAAAGGUACUUGCAUGAAAUUUGUCUUCUGCUUACAAUAAAGUUAUGUUUAAUGAUGAAGCAAAGUAGGACUUGGGGAUUGACCUAGCUGCCUUGACGUGUGAACCUUUAUUUUGAAAAACUUAUUAUGUUAAUAUGUUAUUGUGAGCAAGUAAACCACAUAUUUCUUGUUAAAUUGAGUGCUAUCUAUAGGGAUAUGAGAUUUUUUUUUGUCUCCAUGAUGACAAUUUGGUUUGUUACAUUACUUUGUACCAACUGGACUUUAUAGGGAAUGGAUAGCCAUUUAUUAUAUUCUUGUG